RNAcentral lists this unclassified non-coding RNA (400 nucleotides) under soil metagenome. RNAcentral describes it as "partial contains 5.8S ribosomal RNA, internal transcribed spacer 2, and large subunit ribosomal RNA". The stretch from base 1 to 122 matches the Rfam family "5.8S ribosomal RNA", at positions 35 to 154 of the family's 154-position model. The record is from RNAcentral.
GAUGAAGAACGUAGUGAAAUGCGAUACUUGGUGUGAAUUGCAGAAUCCCGUGAACCAUCGAGUCUUUGAACGCAAGUUGCGCCUCAAGCCAUUAGGUUGAGGGCACGUCUGCCUGGGCGUCACAUAUCGUUGCCUGAUGCCAGUUUCCUCGUGAUGGGUGACUGUGCAGGGCGAAUGAUGGCUUCCCGUGAGCAUUGUUGCCUCAUGGUUGGUUGAAAAUUGAGUCCUUGGUAGGGAGCGACGUGAUAGAUGGUGGUUGAGUGACGAACGAGACCCAAUCAUGUGAGACCCCUACCGAAUUUGGCCUUCAUGACCCACAUGCGUCUUUGGAACGCUCAUGACGAGACCUCAGGUCAGGCGGGGCUACCCGCUGAGUUUAAGCAUAUCAAUAAGCGGAGGA